GACGAACGCUGGCGGCGUGCUUAACACAUGCAAGUCGAACGGUGAAGCGCCUUCCUUUUUGGUGGGUGUGGAUGAGUGGCGAACUGGUGAGUAACACGUGAGUAACCUGCCCCCUUCUUCUGGAUAACCGCAUGAAAGUGUGGCUAAUACGGGAUAUUCUGGGUCUGUCGCAUGAUGGGUCUGGGAAAGAUAUUGUUUCGGUGGGGGAUGGGCUCGCGGCCUAUCAGCUUGUUGGUGGGGUGAUGGCCUACCAAGGCGGUGACGGGUAGCCGGCCUGAGAGGGUGGACGGUCACAAGGAGACUGAGACACGGCCCAGACUCCUACGGGAGGCAGCAGUGGGGAAUAUUGCACAAUGGGCGCAAGGCUGAUGCAGCGACGCCGCGUGAGGGAUGGAGGCCUUCGGGUUGUGAACCUCUUUCGCCAGUGAAGCAGGCCUGCCUCGUUUGUGGGUGGGUUGACGGUAGCUGGAUAAGAAGCGCCGGCUAACUACGUG
RNAcentral lists this ribosomal RNA (494 nucleotides) under uncultured bacterium. Its description in RNAcentral is "partial 16S ribosomal RNA". It matches the Rfam family "Bacterial small subunit ribosomal RNA", at positions 28 to 507 of the family's 1533-position model. The record is from RNAcentral.